RNAcentral lists this long non-coding RNA (1777 nucleotides) under Oryza sativa (Asian cultivated rice). Its description in RNAcentral is "long non-coding RNA (OSAT_LNC000583)". The record is from RNAcentral. Lineage: Eukaryota; Viridiplantae; Streptophyta; Magnoliopsida; Poales; Poaceae.
CAUCGGGUGCCACCUCGCCUCUAUCCCUCCUCUCGUGUCUCUUCUGCUUCCCAUCCUCCGCUCGCUCUCCUCCGUGUGAUGGCGAGGAUGAAGUUCCGCAGUGGCUUUUAGUACCCUUGCCCUAGCCCAUGGCCAUGGGCAACCAUAUCGGCAGCGACGCAGGCGAGGCGGGCGCAAGUUCGAGGCGUCGAUCUGGUGGAGGAGAGCUCGGACUCCUCCAUUGAGAUGUGGACCGAACGAAGGGGACGCAUGGUCUUGGUGGAGGAGCGUACUCCUUCUCCACCUAGGGUGCCACUGCUAGAUUCACCAACGCCACCGCCAGGAGCUCCAAUCCCACCGCCGGCUGCUCCAGCCGAACCACCCACAGUGAAGAUCUAAGGUAACGAAUUCGUGUAGCACCGAACCUAGGGUUUGCUCGUAGAUCGAAUCCUUCUUGAUCUAAAAAUUUCGGUAUUUAUUCAUGAGAUGUCUUGCAAUAUUGUGAUUCUUUGAUGUGCCUGUGGAUUGGUAUGACAAGUUCUAUCCUAAAAUCAGUGAAAAAUGUACUGAGCAGGUUUGGGGAUUUGGGGAAAAAAUUUGGCGUACUAGCAAUGUAGGAGUUAUGCCAUUAAGUUUGAUGCAUGUAAUUUGAACACUCAUAUGCACAUAUGUGUGCUCAAAUUGGUUGUAUGUUGAUCACUGCAAGCCGGCAUGCUAUCCUGAUAUUUUAUUUGGUAUAGUGCCGAGUUGACUAUGUUAACAUAAUAACAUUACAUAUAAAGAGGAUAUCUAAUUAGCAAAUUUGGCUUGUGGGUUUGUUUUGUUUCACUUUUUCAUUGGGUUAGCCUAAUCUUGAAUUGGGGGAACGGAACUUAUUUUGACUCAAUUAAUUUCUCUAUCCAAGUCAGCAGUGUUCUGUGAGUUAAACCCUCAUCAUGUCUUUAGCUAUAACAAGAUUGAUAGUCUGAACUUUAGUCAUUGAGACAUCAAUUUUAUAACUCUUAAAAUUUCUGCUUGAUGUAGAAUGGUACAAACAACUUGUAGACCUUGAUGUUUUCAUUAGUGGGCUAUGAUGUAUACUUGGAACAUAUCGACAUAGCUUUGGAGCCUCAGGUCCUCAAAUUAUUCUACAGUAUGGAAAAAAAUAAAUUGCAUGUUGAACUUUCUAUGCUUUAGUAUUUAGGAAUUUUCAUUACCAUCUAAUGUUCUGAUCAAUAUUGUAAUUUUGGUGAUUUCAAGCAACCUGAUAUAUAGAUAUGGUUAGGUUAUAGCAACUUUUGGUUCUUGUAAUUCUGAUAGUGUACUAUGUACAAUUUGAACUCACAUUUGAUUGUUGGAAUUUUUUUUGGCAGGAUAUUUAGGAUGAUGAGGAGCAAUCUGCCUCAUCGUGCAAAGAACCUGCUGCAAAGGACCUAUAAUAUGUACAGUUAGGCUAUAGCUAGUCUUGGAGAUGUGUAAUGUAAUGACUACUGAAAUGGGUUGGAUGGCAGCUGUUAUGUAGUUAGGGAAGUUGAUAUGGCUGGUGGAUGUUAACAUAGCAUCUUUUGGUUCUUUUGGUCAAGUAUGUGAUGACAUGCAAGUAGGUUUCUUGCCUCAAAUGGUCUGUUUUUGUUGUCCAUAUGACCAAGGUGAUGAUACUACCUCUAAUUAUGUAAGCGGAACCUUGUGCUUGUUUAGUGAAAGGAUGCAGCUGUCAAGUCUAGAAGCUCAUUUUUUGUUGUGAUGCAAACAUGUAUGUGAUGAAUUGUCAUACAUAAUUAGUUGCCAACUGUGGGCUAUUAUUAGCUGCCGUUAUCAG